GGCUUUAUAGUCUAAAUAAGAUUUUAAAUUGCAAGUUUAAGGAUGAUUAUUUCUAAAGCUU
This 61-nucleotide transfer RNA is filed under the name Matsumuramata muiri. RNAcentral's name for it is "tRNA-Cys". Lineage: Eukaryota; Metazoa; Arthropoda; Insecta; Hemiptera; Delphacidae. The record is from RNAcentral.